This 2484-nucleotide ribosomal RNA is filed under the name human gut metagenome. RNAcentral's name for it is "bacterial LSU rRNA". It matches the Rfam family "Bacterial large subunit ribosomal RNA", at positions 14 to 2523 of the family's 2925-position model. The record is from RNAcentral.
AGCGUACACGGUGGAUGCCCUGGCAGUCAGAGGCGAUGAAGGACGUGCUAAUCUGCGAUAAGCGUCGGUAAGGUGAUAUGAACCGUUAUAACCGGCGAUUUCCGAAUGGGGAAACCCAGUGUGAUUCGUCACACUAUCAUUAACUGAAUCCAUAGGUUAAUGAGGCGAACCGGGGGAACUGAAACAUCUAAGUACCCCGAGGAAAAGAAAUCAACCGAGAUUCCCCCAGUAGCGGCGAGCGAACGGGGAGCAGCCCAGAGCCUGAAUCAGUGUGUGUGUUAGUGGAAGCGUCUGGAAAGGCGCGCGAUACAGGGUGACAGCCCCGUACACAAAAAUGCACAUGCUGUGAGCUCGAUGAGUAGGGCGGGACACGUGGUAUCCUGUCUGAAUAUGGGGGGACCAUCCUCCAAGGCUAAAUACUCCUGACUGACCGAUAGUGAACCAGUACCGUGAGGGAAAGGCGAAAAGAACCCCGGCGAGGGGAGUGAAAAAGAACCUGAAACCGUGUACGUACAAGCAGUGGGAGCACGCUUAGGCGUGUGACUGCGUACCUUUUGUAUAAUGGGUCAGCGACUUAUAUUCUGUAGCAAGGUUAACCGAAUAGGGGAGCCGAAGGGAAACCGAGUCUUAACUGGGCGUUAAGUUGCAGGGUAUAGACCCGAAACCCGGUGAUCUAGCCAUGGGCAGGUUGAAGGUUGGGUAACACUAACUGGAGGACCGAACCGACUAAUGUUGAAAAAUUAGCGGAUGACUUGUGGCUGGGGGUGAAAGGCCAAUCAAACCGGGAGAUAGCUGGUUCUCCCCGAAAGCUAUUUAGGUAGCGCCUCGUGAAUUCAUCUCCGGGGGUAGAGCACUGUUUCGGCAAGGGGGUCAUCCCGACUUACCAACCCGAUGCAAACUGCGAAUACCGGAGAAUGUUAUCACGGGAGACACACGGCGGGUGCUAACGUCCGUCGUGAAGAGGGAAACAACCCAGACCGCCAGCUAAGGUCCCAAAGUCAUGGUUAAGUGGGAAACGAUGUGGGAAGGCCCAGACAGCCAGGAUGUUGGCUUAGAAGCAGCCAUCAUUUAAAGAAAGCGUAAUAGCUCACUGGUCGAGUCGGCCUGCGCGGAAGAUGUAACGGGGCUAAACCAUGCACCGAAGCUGCGGCAGCGACGCUUAUGCGUUGUUGGGUAGGGGAGCGUUCUGUAAGCCUGUGAAGGUGUACUGUGAGGUAUGCUGGAGGUAUCAGAAGUGCGAAUGCUGACAUAAGUAACGAUAAAGCGGGUGAAAAGCCCGCUCGCCGGAAGACCAAGGGUUCCUGUCCAACGUUAAUCGGGGCAGGGUGAGUCGACCCCUAAGGCGAGGCCGAAAGGCGUAGUCGAUGGGAAACAGGUUAAUAUUCCUGUACUUGGUGUUACUGCGAAGGGGGGACGGAGAAGGCUAUGUUGGCCGGGCGACGGUUGUCCCGGUUUAAGCGUGUAGGCUGGUUUUCCAGGCAAAUCCGGAAAAUCAAGGCUGAGGCGUGAUGACGAGGCACUACGGUGCUGAAGCAACAAAUGCCCUGCUUCCAGGAAAAGCCUCUAAGCAUCAGGUAACAUCAAAUCGUACCCCAAACCGACACAGGUGGUCAGGUAGAGAAUACCAAGGCGCUUGAGAGAACUCGGGUGAAGGAACUAGGCAAAAUGGUGCCGUAACUUCGGGAGAAGGCACGCUGAUAUGUAGGUGAAGUCCCUCGCGGAUGGAGCUGAAAUCAGUCGAAGAUACCAGCUGGCUGCAACUGUUUAUUAAAAACACAGCACUGUGCAAACACGAAAGUGGACGUAUACGGUGUGACGCCUGCCCGGUGCCGGAAGGUUAAUUGAUGGGGUUAGCGCAAGCGAAGCUCUUGAUCGAAGCCCCGGUAAACGGCGGCCGUAACUAUAACGGUCCUAAGGUAGCGAAAUUCCUUGUCGGGUAAGUUCCGACCUGCACGAAUGGCGUAAUGAUGGCCAGGCUGUCUCCACCCGAGACUCAGUGAAAUUGAACUCGCUGUGAAGAUGCAGUGUACCCGCGGCAAGACGGAAAGACCCCGUGAACCUUUACUAUAGCUUGACACUGAACAUUGAGCCUUGAUGUGUAGGAUAGGUGGGAGGCUUUGAAGUGUGGACGCCAGUCUGCAUGGAGCCGACCUUGAAAUACCACCCUUUAAUGUUUGAUGUUCUAACGUUGACCCGUAAUCCGGGUUGCGGACAGUGUCUGGUGGGUAGUUUGACUGGGGCGGUCUCCUCCUAAAGAGUAACGGAGGAGCACGAAGGUUGGCUAAUCCUGGUCGGACAUCAGGAGGUUAGUGCAAUGGCAUAAGCCAGCUUGACUGCGAGCGUGACGGCGCGAGCAGGUGCGAAAGCAGGUCAUAGUGAUCCGGUGGUUCUGAAUGGAAGGGCCAUCGCUCAACGGAUAAAAGGUACUCCGGGGAUAACAGGCUGAUACCGCCCAAGAGUUCAUAUCGACGGCGGUGUUUGGCA